UGACAAUCAACGUACCGACCGUUCCUAGCGCAAGUGGCAAAAAAUUUGGUGGUUGAUACGCGAGAUCCCAAAUUUAAAACUUAGCUGCUUCACAUUUUCAGCUAAAUUUAUUUCUAAAAAAAAUAAACGAAUCGGGUAGCAUUCUACCAAAUUAAAGUAGAAUGAAAACUAGGGAUACUGUAGCGGCAAUAAGAAAGCUCCAAAUCUAAUGCAGAUAUGGUGCAUGUUAUAAGAUGCAGAGUCGCAGAUCCAUUUAAAAGUUUAAAUUGAUAGUCGAAUAGAAAUCUUUUGUAGUAUUGAAUAUGAGACUAAAAUUUGCAAAUCUAAUACAGAUAU
This 336-nucleotide long non-coding RNA is filed under the name Ananas comosus (pineapple). Its description in RNAcentral is "long non-coding RNA (ACOM_LNC041177)". Lineage: Eukaryota; Viridiplantae; Streptophyta; Magnoliopsida; Poales; Bromeliaceae. The record is from RNAcentral.